Molecule: ribosomal RNA, 468 nt
Filed under: uncultured bacterium
Lineage: Bacteria
Description: partial 16S ribosomal RNA
Rfam family: Bacterial small subunit ribosomal RNA
Source: RNAcentral
GACGAACGCUGGCGGCGUGCUUAACACAUGCAAGUCGAACGGAAAGGCCCUGCUUUUGUGGGGUGCUCGAGUGGCGAACGGGUGAGUAACACGUAAGUAACCUGCCCUUGACUUUGGGAUAACUUCAGGAGACUGGGGCUAAUACCGGAUAGGAGCUCCUGCUGCAUGGUGGGGGUUGGAAAGUUUCGGCGGUUGGGGAUGGACUCGCGGCUUAUCAGCUUGUUGGUGGGGUAGUGGCUUACCAAGGCUUUGACGGGUAGCCGGCCUGAGAGGGUGACCGGCCACAUUGGGACUGAGAUACGGCCCAGACUCCUACGGGAGGCAGCAGUGGGGAAUAUUGCACAAUGGGCGGAAGCCUGAUGCAGCAACGCCGCGUGCGGGAUGACGGCCUUCGGGUUGUAAACCGCUUUCGCCUGUGACGAAGCGUGAGUGACGGUAAUGGGUAAAGAAGCACCGGCUAACUACGUG